UGGGAGAGCAGCAUGAUCCAAAGCGAUGCCGUUUCUCGAAGUAUGCAAGCUGAGAAGCUCACGCUUCCUAUGCUAGGGAAAUUUGGGUCAACCAUGUCUAUUGUCAAGACUGAUAUAGGAGGCAGUAUCAUGUUUCUGGUGACACAUUGGUGAUUUUCUUAAGCAGAGGCUGGAGACAGAAUAUGCAUCUUAUCCUACGAAGUAGGAGCAACUGCAUGGCAUGGUGAAAGUAGAAGUUAGCACAAAGACUAGCAAAAGUUCUAGCAGUUGUAACAACGAUCUUCUCAGGCUAACAAGAUGUUGGUGAACCGGUCCUUGAAGCAGCAAUUGAAACUGCAUUAUUACAUUCUGCAGGAACUUACCUUCUAGGAUGCACGAGGAUGUCUUCACUGUCCUCAUCUAGAAUGGAGCUCAUCAAUGAUGCUGCCUGAGUGCUUCAGUUUCCACUUCAUCUGUUAGUAAAGGUAAAAGUACAAUUAAAAGAUUCUAAGGAACAAGCUGCAGCCACCAUGGUAGUAUUCAUUAAUUCUGGCUCCAUUUAUUUUACAUGAUGCUGUAAAGGGGUAUCGUUUUUUCAUGGAAACUAAUAAAAAUGACUUUAUCUAAAAGUUGACAAUACAUAGAGCAUGUGGCCAAAAGAUGCAUUGUUUAUUUUAAUUCUCUUAUUUAGAUGGUCCAUGAAAUUACUAAGUGUAAGCAAGAGGACAUGGCCUUUCCUACUGUUUUUGUUGAUUUUAAGUACACUCAUUGGCAGUCCACUUUGUUUAGCUGUUAGCUGGCUUUGAAGCUAAAUUUCUAACCAGUGCAUUUAGCUAAACUUUGGCUUUGAAGCUAAACUUCUGACAGCACACAUUAGCUUGUUUCUAUAUGCAAUUGUGUCAUGUUUAAUCAUGUUGCCAAUCAUACGAGCCUAAAAAAGGAUAGCAUUCCACUUGUCAUUUUGAAAUUGCAUGCUGGCAAAAUGGACUUAAUCUAUGAUGAUCGAUUGGGGUAUAUGGAUGAUUGCAAAAAAAACAAUAUUCACGCUGUAGUAUCUCUCUUCCCAAAAGGUUCCUUCCCUGGUCCAUUGGGUUAACAACAGAAUGUUUAUUCAUCAAUUCACUGCUAAUACUAAAUACAUGUUCUCAUAGCUUCGUUUUUUCUGACCCUGCAAUAGCAGCAUGACAACCUUCUAUUUUUUAUUCGGAAUUUGGGAUACGAGAAUCAUCCUUACAUGCACAUGGAUGGAUCAUUCUUCAGAUUGGCACAUGUAUAUAUUAAGAUGGCAUCUCUAAAUUCUUAGUACCUAAUCUGAAUGAAGGACGAGUAUACCGGUGAUUACUUUGCUGCCUAGCAUAGCACCUUUCGGUGUUAGUAGGAUUUACAGUUUGAUGAACAAACUCAGUCUAAACUACAUAUUAGAUUGGCUGGAUCAUAGCUGACAGCAUUUGUGCUUUAGUUUUCAGUGUAGUACUUUUGACAGGAUUGGAUGCAGUUUCUCAUGAUAUUUUUCCUCCCUGCUAAUUCCUAUGUUUGUUGCAGAGUUUGAAAUGUAUUGUGAGAUACACCCCUUGAGAGGGACCCGUUGUAUUGUUUCAGAAAAUAGAAGCAGUUAAUCAUAUUUUUGACAUAUAUACCACAUCUUUAAGAUAUCAUGUUAUAACAAAACUUUUGACAUGUAAUAAAUAGACUAGCAAUUAUUUAGCUAAAAUUUGAGUAUUUGACAUCUGUAGCUAUUGGAGGGAACAUACCUUCGUUUUUAGUGUGAUAUUUUCUCUAUUAUUGUUGUCUAAUGCCAUCAACCAUCAUAUCGUGCCAAUGGUUAAUGAGAUGGUGUUUUUUGUUUCAAUUGUGAGGACA
Molecule: long non-coding RNA, 1839 nt
Organism: Panicum virgatum (switchgrass)
Lineage: Eukaryota; Viridiplantae; Streptophyta; Magnoliopsida; Poales; Poaceae
Exons: 5
Source: RefSeq, a predicted model, not a curated record